GAAAAUGAAACCUUUUGGCCCAAACAAGGACAAACCAAAUCCUUAUAAAUAUAUUGCUUGAUGUUAAUGUUUCUUUUGGUCAAAUGUGUGAUACUCUAGCUGAUAAAUAAUACGCUCAGGAUAAAGAAUACUCAGAAAUAUAGUUUUAUUCAACUACUGAACUAGCCACCAUUUUGCAUUCAAAGACAGAGGAGUGGUCAGAGGUCACCAAAAAAAUAAAUACUGAAACCAUAAAACCCAAUAACCCAUGUAAGAGCUCCGUAAUUCAAAUAUAGUCACUUGAUUUCACCAAACGGAUCGUCGAUACUGUGAACAAACACAAAGAUGCAGAGAAAACAGAUUCUUGUUGCCCUUCUCUUGCUCAUUCGAGCAUGUGUGCCCAUAGUGGCCCAGGAGUCAGAGGAGUCAGAGGAGUCAGAGGGCUGGCUGCAGCAGGCAGGUGAUAUAUACAGGACUGCCAAAGCUGAAGCCCACAAAAUUGAAGUGGUACUGGGCUUGGCAGGUGCAUUCUACGAGGAACACGUGAAACUGUUAGCCGGUAACUACACGGAUUGGGCCUCAGCCUCAACCAGUUCCUUCUGGAAACAAGUCAAAGCCCAGUUCACUUGAGUACAGACCCAACUAAUGGCACAUGAAAAAAGCAGACAAAAACAAAACUUAGUGCUAAAUACAUUAUGGAAAGGCUAGAGUAGGAUGCAUUCUACAGUCAUGUGCACUUGGGAUUAAAAGGAGGAAAUAAGAUAUAAAGAUGAUGCAUUAGAAAUAUGUGGUUGUGAACUAUUGUAAACUAGUGAAGCAAACCAAAUAAAUAAAUAAAGAGAAACUCCCUUACUGCACUCUGGUGUUGUACCUUCUUAUACAUUCACAUUUGACCAUGUCUUUCCAGCUUCCAUCCAUCAAUCAGUGAGUUGAAUGAAGUAAAAAGCAGAGACAGAGAGCAGAUUGUAGAAUGGAGAAAAAGAAAACAUGAAAGGUCAGACCGAGGGACAGACACAGACCAUGACAUCAGCAAUGGGAGUAAUAUCUACAGAGUGUUCUGAAAUCCUAGGCUUAUCAAGUGGAGAAUUGACAGAUGAGAUACAAGGUUCAGCAGGUCUGGCUGAAGGGGAGAUGUGUGGGUUGUGUGACCUGAAGGCUAUUUGUCUCUGCUCUCUGUGGACUGCAGACAUCGAUCCUGGAACACAGUCAAGACACAUUCAGGGCAAUGUUCUAGUCAAAAUCUCUCCUUGAGUAAAUGGGAUUUAAUAAAAAUUGUAAAUCAUACUACAUGGA
Esox lucius (northern pike) is the source of this 1272-nucleotide long non-coding RNA. NCBI's taxonomy places the organism in Eukaryota, Metazoa, Chordata, Actinopteri, Esociformes, Esocidae. The record is from Ensembl.